This is a non-coding RNA of Schistocephalus solidus, 57 nucleotides long. The record is from Rfam. Lineage: Eukaryota; Metazoa; Platyhelminthes; Cestoda; Diphyllobothriidea; Diphyllobothriidae.
UGGCUCAAUGGUAGAGCGUUCGACUCAAAUACCAAAGGUCGUGGGUUCGAAUCCCAG